GAGGAGUUUAAUCCAGGUGGAACAUCAGUUCAAAAAAGACCGGUGACACUCAUGAGAUACUUUCGUACAUUUAUUGUCAUUUUCUAGCACAUUGCGCCCCCAACAUGUUGUCAUCCUCCAACAGUCAACAAUGAAGUGGGCUCCACACAGACUGUCACAACCUGUUGCCUCGGAGAUGGUGGAAGAGGACAGUGAUGAGAUGGAGAAAGAUGAAACUGAUCUGAUACUCCAUUACAGCAAUGCCAUUUCACACUCGGUUACCCACAACUUGGACUUGACCAGAGCAGUUGAGGCAUGAGUGCAUAUGGGAGGGACAUUUCCACUGUAGUCUCUGAGCGAGGGGAGCACAUUUCUAGGUCAGUCUUUUUCGCCAAGUUAUCCAUGGUGGUCUGUUGUCUAGGCUGUCCUUGUCUUCAGCUGCAAAAUAAGCUUGCACAGGCACACAGUGG
Molecule: long non-coding RNA, 449 nt
Organism: Micropterus salmoides (largemouth bass)
Lineage: Eukaryota; Metazoa; Chordata; Actinopteri; Centrarchiformes; Centrarchidae
Exons: 3
Source: RefSeq, a predicted model, not a curated record